GACGAACGCUGGCGGCGUGCUUAACACAUGCAAGUCGAACGGAAAGGCCUCUUUCGGGGGGUACUCGAGUGGCGAACGGGUGAGUAACACGUGAGUAACCUGCCCUUGACUUUGGGAUAACUUCAGGAAACUGGGGCUAAUACCGGAUAGGAGCUCCUGCUGCAUGGUGGGGGUUGGAAAGUUUCGGCGGUUGGGGAUGGACUCGCGGCUUAUCAGCUUGUUGGCGGGGUAGUGGCUUACCAAGGCUUUGACGGGUAGCCGGCCUGAGAGGGUGACCGGCCACAUUGGGACUGAGAUACGGCCCAGACUCCUACGGGAGGCAGCAGUGGGGAAUAUUGCACAAUGGGUGGAAGCCUGAUGCAGCAACGCCGUGUGCGGGAUGACGGCCUUCGGGUUGUAAACCGCUUUCGCUCAUGACGAAGCUUUGUGUGACGGUAGUGAGUAAAGAAGCACCGGCUAACUACGUG
Molecule: ribosomal RNA, 467 nt
Filed under: uncultured bacterium
Lineage: Bacteria
Description: partial 16S ribosomal RNA
Rfam family: Bacterial small subunit ribosomal RNA
Source: RNAcentral